RNAcentral lists this long non-coding RNA (2281 nucleotides) under Mus musculus (house mouse). RNAcentral's name for it is "long non-coding RNA chr11:93955276-93957557". Lineage: Eukaryota; Metazoa; Chordata; Mammalia; Rodentia; Muridae. The record is from RNAcentral.
AAACCUUCCCAAGGGCGUCUGUCCUCCCCGGCCUGGGAAAGGGCCAGCGAGCCACCAACGUCUGGUGAGAGGCGGAGGUCAAAAGGAUUCUCGUGGGAGUGAAAUCAGCCAGGAGGCCUAACUCCGACUCCAAAAGGCGACGCGGCCAAACUACUGGCGGGCGAACCAAACUCCCGCCACCCAGCAGCAGAGGGGUAGGGGGCGAAGGGCGUUGUUACCCGAAGGAACUUCAUGGCCACCAGGCGGAACCCCUUCUGCUCGAACCGUUUGAUGAUCUCGCCCACCAGGCCGCGCUGCACGCCAUCUGGCUUGAUGGCAAUGAAGGUACGCUCGAGGUUGGCCAUGGUCCUGUGGAGGCAAGAAGUGUAGUCGAUGAGGCCCGGCCGACCCAAGCCGGCCCAGGAAGCCACGUGGGUUCCUGCCACCGCCGCCGCUGCGGAGGACACGUGGCUUUCCAGAUACUUCUGCCCCGCCCGGGAGGCCCAGAAAGAGGACUGCGGGAGCCUGUGGUGAGCUGAUGUCGGGGCGGGGAGUGCAUCUUAGCCUUACCGAAAGCCGGUGGGUCGGCUGGUGUCUGCGAUGAGCGACAGAAGCAAAGAGAAUAGAACGACCACCAGCCGGCGCGGAGAGAGGAGGGACGCGGGGCGGGACGAGAGACGCCACACCCCGGAGGACCCCGCUGCCCAACCCGGGACGCUCAGGCUGCCUGGUCUUGCCAGUCGUCUCUGUCCCCGCCCAAAGGCUCGCGGUGCACGCCCUCUCCUUGCAGGGCUGCGGAGGGCUGCGGGGCAGGAAGUGAUUUGUUCUCCACCCAAGUCCGCCUGUUCUUUGCAGCUAAAGGCUUCAGCUUUGGAGACCAGGUCCUGAAUUUAUUCCAGGAGACAUCUGCAUUCAAGCUUCCCUGAGACAUCCGCGCCCAGCUGGACUCUCCAUGCUCUGGGAUACCCCGAGUUUUUCCUAUCUCCGAAAUUCAGCCCUCUGUUCUUUCCUCUCUGCUUGAGCUUAGCCUUCCUCACCCAAAAUGACAACUUCCCUAGGAGCCAAGUCUGUCUCCAGGCCCCUCCUCAGAAGGCCAUCUGUUCCUGUCUCAGAAUGACUUUCGAAUUCCUAAGAUAACCCAUGCCUUUUGACACUAGGGCCAGCUCCCAGCUCUCUGUCUCCUCACCUACCUUUCCUCUAGAGGCUCUGAUGCCACCCUGAGCCUGGGAUUCCUGCCCACAGAGCACUACCUACCGAGUGUCAGGCUACCCACCUCAACCUGAGACACCCCUGGCAAGAUUCUAGAUUUUUGUAUAUAAGUUGACGGCCUGCCUAGACUUCAGAGGAAAUUCAAGGCCAGCCUGGUGAAUUUGGUACAUGAGACUACCUCAAAAUAAGAAGCAAAACCAGGUGUGAGAGAUGACACUUGCCUAUAGUGCUAGCUUUUGGGAGGUGGAGGCAGGAGGAUCAGGAAAGGACAGCCACUGCUACACAGUUCAGAGUCAGCCUGGUCUGUCUCAAAAUAUACAAAAUGGGGUGUUGGAGAGCUGGCUUUGUAGUUAAGAGCCUUCCAGGGGCCAGAGGUCAAGUCCCAGCAACCACACACUUCAGGUGGCUCACAACUAUAACUCCAGUUCCAUAGAAUCCGGUGCCUCCCAUCUCCAAGGACAUGCCCUUACGUGCACAUACCCACAUGCAACACACACACCUACACAUAAUAUGAUAAAAACAAGUUUUUAAGGAAUACAUACAAAGAGAGGGGCUGGAGUGGGUAAAGUGGUACAUCCUUGGCUACACUAGAAUUAAAGACCAGCCUCGACUACAUGAAGGUAGGGAGCACUGAAUAUUUAGCUCUGUGGUAGGUCCACUUGUGUAGCAUGCACAAGGCCUUGGUCCAACCUCCAGUACUCCAGACUCUGUAUUCUCAGAAGCCAGGCCUGUCAACUUGCAGUCUUUACCUCCUGUCUUCUUGGCAAGCCACCAGUACCCUAAAGGUGCCCUCAGUGCCCACAUCUGCUUCAUUUCCAUAUCCAGACCACACCCAAAAAAGUUGCAGUAUGUUGUGUGAACCAGCUGCUGCUUCUCCCAGCAGGCUUGGAGCCUGAGCUGGGGCCCUGAACAUCCCAGUAAAUAGGUUUAGGGCAUUGCCCAAGGCACUGAGCCUAACUAGCGCAGAUGAGUCAAAAUGCCUGAAACCUCCUUCUCCAGCUCCAUUGCAUCAGCCCUGGCUAAAGACCUGCUUGGACAGAACAGCCCUCUGCUCACUGGCCAUUAGGAUGAGCAAUUAAACUCUAAAGUUAUC